GACGAACGCUGGCGGCGUGCUUAACACAUGCAAGUCGAACGGAAAGGCCCUGCUUUUGUGGGGUGCUCGAGUGGCGAACGGGUGAGUAACACGUGAGUAACCUGCCCUUGACUUUGGGAUAACUUCAGGAAACUGGGGCUAAUACCGGAUAGGAGCUCCUGCUGCAUGGUGGGGGUUGGAAAGUUUCGGCGGUUGGGGAUGGACUCGCGGCUUAUCAGCUUGUUGGUGGGGUAGUGGCUUACCAAGGCUUUGACGGGUAGCCGGCCUGAGAGGGUGACCGGCCACAUUGGGACUGAGAUACGGCCCAGACUCCUACGGGAGGCAGCAGUGGGGAAUAUUGCACAAUGGGCGGAAGCCGGAUGCAGCAACGCCGCGUGCGGGAUGACGGCCUUCGGGUUGUAACCCGCUUUCGCCUGUGACGAAGCGUGAGUGACGGUAAUGGGUAAAGAAGCACCGGCUAACUACGUG
RNAcentral lists this ribosomal RNA (468 nucleotides) under uncultured bacterium. Its description in RNAcentral is "partial 16S ribosomal RNA". It matches the Rfam family "Bacterial small subunit ribosomal RNA", at positions 28 to 507 of the family's 1533-position model. The record is from RNAcentral.